This 521-nucleotide ribosomal RNA is filed under the name uncultured bacterium. Its description in RNAcentral is "bacterial SSU rRNA". It matches the Rfam family "Bacterial small subunit ribosomal RNA", at positions 1 to 523 of the family's 1533-position model. The record is from RNAcentral.
UUAGAGUUUGAUCCUGGCUCAGGACGAACGCUGGCGGCGUGCUUAACACAUGCAAGUCGAGCGGUAAGGCUCCUUCGGGAGUACACGAGCGGCGAACGGGUGAGUAACACGUGAGUAACCUGCCGAUCUGUGGGGGAUAGCCGGGCUAACGCCCGGGUAAUACCGCAUCCGGUGCCUCGGGGGGGUCCCUGGGGCAAGAAACCUGGGCAACCAGGGCGGAUCGAGGGGCUCGCGGCCUAUCAGCUAGUUGGGGGGGUAACGGCCCACCAAGGCGACGACGGGUAGCUGGUCUGAGAGGAUGGCCAGCCACAUUGGGACUGAGAGACGGCCCAGACUCCUACGGGAGGCAGCAGUGGGGAAUCUUGCGCAAUGGCCGAGAGGCUGACGCAGCGACGCCGCGUGUGGGAGGACGCCUUUCGGGGUGUAAACCACUGUUGCCCGGGACGAACAGGUCUAUUCGUAGGCCCUGACGGUACCGGGUGAGGAAGCACCGGCUAACUCCGUGCCAGCAGCCGCGGUAG